GAUGAAGAACGUAGCGAAAUGCGAUACGUAAUGUGAAUUGCAGAAUUCAGUGAAUCAUCGAAUCUUUGAACGCAUAUUGCGCUCUCUGGUAUUCCGGAGAGCAUGCUUGUUUGAGUAUCAGUAAACACCUCAACUUCCAUAUCUUUUUUGAAAUGGGAGUUGGACUUGAGUGAUCCCAACGCUUUUCCUCACCGAAAAGUGGCGGGUUACUUGAAAUGCAGGUGCAGCUGGACUUUUCUCUGAGCUAUAAGCAUAUCUAUUUAGUCUGCCUAAAAAACAGAUUAUUACCUUUGCUGCAGCUAACAUAAGGAGAUUAGUUCUUGUGCUGACUGAUGCAGGAUUCACAAAGACAGCUUCGGCCGACUUUGUAAACUCGAUCUCAAAUCAAGUAAGACUACCCGCUGAACUUAAGCAUAUCAAUAAGCGGAGGA
This 431-nucleotide unclassified non-coding RNA is filed under the name soil metagenome. RNAcentral's name for it is "partial contains 5.8S ribosomal RNA, internal transcribed spacer 2, and large subunit ribosomal RNA". The stretch from base 1 to 120 matches the Rfam family "5.8S ribosomal RNA", at positions 35 to 154 of the family's 154-position model. The record is from RNAcentral.